AAUCAUUAUUGUGCCGUACCUGGGGCAACGAUCCAGCAAAAAGUUUGAAAAAAUCUUUUCAGAUCAUCUCAAUUUGAAAAGACUCUAGCAUCGACGCGCCAAACGCCAAAAUAUCUGAAAACAAUCGAGUACAGAAAUCAAGGGGGCAACUUUGGCUAUGAAAAUUUUUUUGUACUUCCUUCAUUCGAAACCCGAACUUGAAAGUAGGGGGACUAGUGUUGAGUAUAAAAUAACCCCAGCUG
Molecule: long non-coding RNA, 242 nt
Filed under: Elaeis guineensis (African oil palm)
Lineage: Eukaryota; Viridiplantae; Streptophyta; Magnoliopsida; Arecales; Arecaceae
Description: long non-coding RNA (EGUI_LNC066617)
Source: RNAcentral